UUAAUCUUUAAUUUGUUUUACUAGAGUACUACGAAUAAAGUUUAAAACUCAAAGGGCUUGGCGGUGCUUUAGACUUUUCAGGGGAACCUGUCUCGUAAUCGACACUCCGCGAAUUAACCUUACCUUUUUUCAGUAUGUAUACCGUCGUCGUCAGGUAACUUUUAAAAAUGUAGAAGUUAGCAAGCUCGGACGUCAGAUCAAGGUGCAGCUAAUGAAAAGGCGAGGAUGGGUUACAAUUAAUAUUUAUAAUACGAAAUCGAAUUUUAGAAGGCGGACUUGAAAGUAAAAAUUAGUAUAUAGAUUUCUUGAAUUAAGCUCUGAAGCG
RNAcentral lists this ribosomal RNA (325 nucleotides) under Peasiella tantilla. Its description in RNAcentral is "partial 12S ribosomal RNA". The record is from RNAcentral. Lineage: Eukaryota; Metazoa; Mollusca; Gastropoda; Littorinimorpha; Littorinidae.